CCUACGGGUGGCAGCAGUAGGGAAUAUUGCUCAAUGGGGGAAACCCUGAAGCAGCAACGCCGCGUGGAGGAUGAAGGUUCUAGGAUUGUAAACUCUUUUUUUUAGAGAAGUUUAUGACGGUAUCUAACGAAUAAGCACCGGCUAACUCCGUGCCAGCAGCCGCGGUAAUACGGCGGGUGCAAGCGUUAAUCGGAAUCACUGGGCGUAAAGAGUGCGUAGGCGGGGUAAUAAGUCAGAUGUGAAAUCCUGUAGCUUAACUACAGAACUGCAUUUGAAACUGUUACUCUGGAGUGUGGGAGAGGUAGGUGGAAUUCUUGGUGUAGGGGUAAAAUGCGUAGAGAUCAAGAAGAAUACUGAUUGCGAAGGCGACCUGCUGGAACAAUACUGACGCUGAUGCACGAAAGCGUGGGGAGCAAACAGGAUUAGAUACCCUAGUAGUC
RNAcentral lists this ribosomal RNA (440 nucleotides) under uncultured bacterium. RNAcentral describes it as "partial 16S ribosomal RNA". It matches the Rfam family "Bacterial small subunit ribosomal RNA", at positions 338 to 795 of the family's 1533-position model. The record is from RNAcentral.